GGUCCAGCGAAGCUAGCAGCUGUCCUGGCCCUGCCUGCUGUCAGCUACAAGUAGAAAACAGAUGCUGCUCAUGUUGCAUUGGUUGCAGGAUCGCUCCCCGGACCUUCAAGAAAGCCGGCGCAUGCACCAAGUAGCAGAGAAAAACAAUGAUACCAGCAGCUCGA
This is a long non-coding RNA of Ixodes scapularis (black-legged tick), 164 nucleotides long. RefSeq lists it as uncharacterized. Lineage: Eukaryota; Metazoa; Arthropoda; Arachnida; Ixodida; Ixodidae. The record is from RefSeq and is a predicted model, not a curated record. The transcript is spliced from 2 exons.